AGACGUCUACAUUAGAUACCCCUGUAGUCCCAGCCGUAAACAAUGUGCGUUAGGUGUGUCGGUAACCACGUGUUACUGAUGCGCCGAAGAGAAAUCGUGAAACGCACCACCUGGGAAGUACGGUCGCAAGGCUGAAACUUAAAGGAAUUGGCGGGGGAGCACCACAACAGGUGGAGCCUGCGGUUUAAUUGGAUUCAACGCCGGACAUCUCACCGGAUAAGACAGCUGAAUGAUUGUCAAUCUGAAGGUUUUACAUGACUAGCUG
RNAcentral lists this ribosomal RNA (265 nucleotides) under uncultured archaeon. RNAcentral's name for it is "partial 16S ribosomal RNA". It matches the Rfam family "Archaeal small subunit ribosomal RNA", at positions 714 to 982 of the family's 1478-position model. The record is from RNAcentral.